This 468-nucleotide ribosomal RNA is filed under the name uncultured bacterium. RNAcentral's name for it is "partial 16S ribosomal RNA". It matches the Rfam family "Bacterial small subunit ribosomal RNA", at positions 28 to 507 of the family's 1533-position model. The record is from RNAcentral.
GACGAACGCUGGCGGCGUGCUUAACACAUGCAAGUCGAACGGAAAGGCCCUGCGUUUGUGGGGUUCUCGAGUGGCGAACGGGUGAGUAACACGUGAGUAACCUGCCCUUGACUUUGGGAUAACUUCAGGAAACUGGGGCUAAUACCGGAUAGGAGCUCCUGCUGCAUGGUGGGGGUUGGAAAGUUUAGGCGGUUGGGGAUGGACUCGCGGCUUAUCAGCUUGUUUGUUGGGUAGUGGCUUACCAAGGCUUUGACGGGUAGCCCGCCUGAGAGGGUGACCGGCCACAUUGGGACUGAGAUACGGACCAGACUCGUACGGGAGGCAGUAGGGGGGAAUAUUGCACAAUGGGCGGAAGCCUGAUGAAGCAACGCCGCGUGCGGGAUGACGGCCUUCGGGUUGUAAACCGCUUUCGCCUGUGACGAAGCGUGAGUGACGGUAAUGGGUAAAGAAGCACCGGCUAACUACGUG